This 252-nucleotide ribosomal RNA is filed under the name uncultured bacterium. Its description in RNAcentral is "partial 16S ribosomal RNA". It matches the Rfam family "Bacterial small subunit ribosomal RNA", at positions 524 to 776 of the family's 1533-position model. The record is from RNAcentral.
UACGUAGGGGGCGAGCGUUGUCCGGAAUUAUUGGGCGUAAAGGGUUCGUAGGCGGUAAUACAUGUCAGAUGUGAAAUCUUGUGGCUUAACCACAUCAAGCAUCUGAAACUGUAUAACUUGAGUGGAGGAGAGGUAAGUGGAAUUCCUAGUGUAGCGGUGAAAUGCGUAGAUAUUAGGAAGAAUACCAGUAGCGAAGGCGACUUACUGGCCUCUAACUGACGCUGAUGAACGAAAGCGUGGGGAGCAAACAGG